Molecule: long non-coding RNA, 500 nt
Filed under: Carica papaya (papaya)
Lineage: Eukaryota; Viridiplantae; Streptophyta; Magnoliopsida; Brassicales; Caricaceae
Description: long non-coding RNA (CPAP_LNC001946)
Source: RNAcentral
ACUUGUUCAACUUCUAGACAUUUUGCUCUAUUACUCGUUCCUACUUCCUUAUAUAUUAAGGGUCAUCCUAUUUCGUGUAUCCCUCCCGAUUAACCACCAGAAUGAUGGGGUGAAGAAUAGAUAGGAAGAACUAGAAUAUGAUGUGAAGAGGAAUGAUGAGAUGAUCUGCAGAGAUUAGAUAUGAAAUAUUGUAGAGAUUUGGUUGAAAUGUUGAGGAAUUUCUUGAGAAAUUGAUUGAUCACAGAAACAAAAAGCUGUACAAACUAAUUAGUAUUAGCAACUAAUCCUUAAAACACUAGAUAAUAAAAACAAGAUUUAAAGCAAAUGAAAAAGAAGAGUUGAAAUGAGAAGUUAAUAUUUGGUUUAGGUUAAUAUAAUAAUAGGGGAUCAAGUUAUGAUUAAUUGUGAGUUGUGGCCACUCAACAAACAAACACUCGAGAGGAAUUGCAGGCAUCAAGCACUAAUUGGGCAAAAAAUCAUGCCUCUUACUGUUCUUUAAU